This 3013-nucleotide ribosomal RNA is filed under the name Salmonella enterica subsp. enterica serovar Saintpaul. RNAcentral's name for it is "bacterial LSU rRNA". It matches the Rfam family "Bacterial large subunit ribosomal RNA". The record is from RNAcentral. Lineage: Bacteria; Pseudomonadati; Pseudomonadota; Gammaproteobacteria; Enterobacterales; Enterobacteriaceae.
GGGUUGUGAGGUUAAGCGACUAAGCGUACACGGUGGAUGCCCUGGCAGUCAGAGGCGAUGAAGGGCGUGCUAAUCUGCGAUAAGCGCCGGUAAGGUGAUAUGAACCGUUAUAACCGGCGAUACCCGAAUGGGGAAACCCAGUGUGACUCGUCACACUAUCAUUAACUGAAUCCAUAGGUUAAUGAGGCGAACCGGGGGAACUGAAACAUCUAAGUACCCCGAGGAAAAGAAAUCAACCGAGAUUCCCCCAGUAGCGGCGAGCGAACGGGGAGGAGCCCAGAGCCUGAAUCAGCAUGUGUGUUAGUGGAAGCGUCUGGAAAGGCGCGCGAUACAGGGUGACAGCCCCGUACACAAAAGCGCAUGUGCUGUGAGCUCGAUGAGUAGGGCGGGACACGUGGUAUCCUGUCUGAAUAUGGGGGGACCAUCCUCCAAGGCUAAAUACUCCUGACUGACCGAUAGUGAACCAGUACCGUGAGGGAAAGGCGAAAAGAACCCCGGCGAGGGGAGUGAAAAAGAACCUGAAACCGUGUACGUACAAGCAGUGGGAGCACAGGUUUACCUGUGUGACUGCGUACCUUUUGUAUAAUGGGUCAGCGACUUAUAUUCUGUAGCAAGGUUAACCGUAUAGGGGAGCCGUAGGGAAACCGAGUCUUAACCGGGCGUUAAGUUGCAGGGUAUAGACCCGAAACCCGGUGAUCUAGCCAUGGGCAGGUUGAAGGUUGGGUAACACUAACUGGAGGACCGAACCGACUAAUGUUGAAAAAUUAGCGGAUGACCUGUGGCUGGGGGUGAAAGGCCAAUCAAACCGGGAGAUAGCUGGUUCUCCCCGAAAGCUAUUUAGGUAGCGCCUCGUGAAUUCAUCUCCGGGGGUAGAGCACUGUUUCGGCUAGGGGGCCAUCCCGGCUUACCAACCCGAUGCAAACUGCGAAUACCGGAGAAUGUUAUCACGGGAGACACACGGCGGGUGCUAACGUCCGUCGUGAAGAGGGAAACAACCCAGACCGCCAGCUAAGGUCCCAAAGUCAUGGUUAAGUGGGAAACGAUGUGGGAAGGCCCAGACAGCCAGGAUGUUGGCUUAGAAGCAGCCAUCAUUUAAAGAAAGCGUAAUAGCUCACUGGUCGAGUCGGCCUGCGCGGAAGAUGUAACGGGGCUAAACCAUGCACCGAAGCUGCGGCAGCGAACGUAUCACCCAAGACAACUUUACGGAGUUGACGAUUGACGGAGCGAAGCGACGUCAAAGCGUUCAUUAAAGUCGAGUUGGCUUAGGGAUACGUUCGUUGGGUAGGGGAGCGUUCUGUAAGCCUGUGAAGGUGUGUCGUGAGGCAUGCUGGAGGUAUCAGAAGUGCGAAUGCUGACAUAAGUAACGAUAAAGCGGGUGAAAAGCCCGCUCGCCGGAAGACCAAGGGUUCCUGUCCAACGUUAAUCGGGGCAGGGUGAGUCGACCCCUAAGGCGAGGCCGAAAGGCGUAGUCGAUGGGAAACGGGUUAAUAUUCCCGUACUUGGUGUUACUGCGAAGGGGGGACGGAGAAGGCUAUGUUGGCCGGGCGACGGUUGUCCCGGUUUAAGCGUGUAGGUGUGUGUUCCAGGUAAAUCCGGUUCACUUUAACACUGAGGCGUGACGACGAGGCACUACGGUGCUGAAGCAACAAAUGCCCUGCUUCCAGGAAAAGCCUCUAAGCAUCAGGUAACACGAAAUCGUACCCCAAACCGACACAGGUGGUCAGGUAGAGAAUACCAAGGCGCUUGAGAGAACUCGGGUGAAGGAACUAGGCAAAAUGGUGCCGUAACUUCGGGAGAAGGCACGCUGACACGUAGGUGAAGUGAUUUACUCAUGGAGCUGAAGUCAGUCGAAGAUACCAGCUGGCUGCAACUGUUUAUUAAAAACACAGCACUGUGCAAACACGAAAGUGGACGUAUACGGUGUGACGCCUGCCCGGUGCCGGAAGGUUAAUUGAUGGGGUCAGCGUAAGCGAAGCUCCUGAUCGAAGCCCCGGUAAACGGCGGCCGUAACUAUAACGGUCCUAAGGUAGCGAAAUUCCUUGUCGGGUAAGUUCCGACCUGCACGAAUGGCGUAAUGAUGGCCAGGCUGUCUCCACCCGAGACUCAGUGAAAUUGAACUCGCUGUGAAGAUGCAGUGUACCCGCGGCAAGACGGAAAGACCCCGUGAACCUUUACUAUAGCUUGACACUGAACAUUGAGCCUUGAUGUGUAGGAUAGGUGGGAGGCUUUGAAGUGUGGACGCCAGUCUGCAUGGAGCCGACCUUGAAAUACCACCCUUUAAUGUUUGAUGUUCUAACGUGGACCCGUAAUCCGGGUUGCGGACAGUGUCUGGUGGGUAGUUUGACUGGGGCGGUCUCCUCCUAAAGAGUAACGGAGGAGCACGAAGGUUGGCUAAUCCUGGUCGGACAUCAGGAGGUUAGUGCAAUGGCAUAAGCCAGCUUGACUGCGAGCGUGACGGCGCGAGCAGGUGCGAAAGCAGGUCAUAGUGAUCCGGUGGUUCUGAAUGGAAGGGCCAUCGCUCAACGGAUAAAAGGUACUCCGGGGAUAACAGGCUGAUACCGCCCAAGAGUUCAUAUCGACGGCGGUGUUUGGCACCUCGAUGUCGGCUCAUCACAUCCUGGGGCUGAAGUAGGUCCCAAGGGUAUGGCUGUUCGCCAUUUAAAGUGGUACGCGAGCUGGGUUUAGAACGUCGUGAGACAGUUCGGUCCCUAUCUGCCGUGGGCGCUGGAGAACUGAGGGGGGCUGCUCCUAGUACGAGAGGACCGGAGUGGACGCAUCACUGGUGUUCGGGUUGUCAUGCCAAUGGCACUGCCCGGUAGCUAAAUGCGGAAGAGAUAAGUGCUGAAAGCAUCUAAGCACGAAACUUGCCCCGAGAUGAGUUCUCCCUGAGACUUAGAGUCUCCUGAAGGAACGUUGAAGACGACGACGUUGAUAGGCCGGGUGUGUAAGCGCAGCGAUGCGUUGAGCUAACCGGUACUAAUGAACCGUGAGGCUUAACCUUACAACGCCGAAG